CGUACGCUGGCGGCACGCCUAACACAUGCAAGUCGAACGCAGUAGCAAUACUGAGUGGCAGACGGGUGAGUAACAUGUGGGAAUCUGCCUUGUGGUUCAGAACAACAUUGGGAAACCGAUGCUAAUACUGGAUAAGCCCUUACGGGGAAAGUUUUAAUGCCAUAAGAUGAGCCCGCAUUUGAUUAGUUAGUUGGUGAGGUAAUGGCUCACCAAGACAAUGAUCAAUAGCUGAUCUGAGAGGAUGAUCAGCCACACUGGGACUGAGACACGGCCCAGACUCCUACGGGAGGCAGCAGUGGGGAAUCUUGCACAAUGGAGGAAACUCUGAUGCAGCGAUGCCGCGUGAGUGAAGAAGGCCUUUGGGUUGUAAAGCUCUUUUGUAGGGGAAGAUAAUGACUGUACCCUAAGAAUAAGGUCCGGCUAACUUCGUGCCAGCAG
This 438-nucleotide ribosomal RNA is filed under the name uncultured bacterium. RNAcentral describes it as "bacterial SSU rRNA". It matches the Rfam family "Bacterial small subunit ribosomal RNA", at positions 30 to 514 of the family's 1533-position model. The record is from RNAcentral.